UACGAAGGGGGCUAGCGUUACUCGGAUUGACUGGGCGUAAAGGGCGCGUAGGCGGAUGGUACAGUCAGACGUGAAAUUCCUGGGCUCAACCUGGGGGCUGCGUUUGAUACGUGCUGUCUGGAGUUCGGAAGAGGGUCGUGGAAUUCCCAGUGUAGAGGUGAAAUUCGUAGAUAUUGGGAAGAACACCGGUGGCGAAGGCGGCUCACUGGCCCGGUACUGACGCUGAGGUGCGAAAGCGUGGGGAGCAAACAGG
RNAcentral lists this ribosomal RNA (253 nucleotides) under uncultured bacterium. Its description in RNAcentral is "partial 16S ribosomal RNA". It matches the Rfam family "Bacterial small subunit ribosomal RNA", at positions 524 to 776 of the family's 1533-position model. The record is from RNAcentral.